This 229-nucleotide ribosomal RNA is filed under the name uncultured bacterium. RNAcentral describes it as "partial 16S ribosomal RNA". It matches the Rfam family "Bacterial small subunit ribosomal RNA", at positions 104 to 334 of the family's 1533-position model. The record is from RNAcentral.
CGGGGUGAGUAAUGUCUGGGAAACUGCCUGAUGGAGGGGGAUAACUGCUGGAAACGGUAGCCAAUACCGCAUAACGUCGCAAGACCAAAGAGGGGGACCUUCGGGCCUCUUGCCAUCGGAUGUGCCCAGAUGGGAUUAGCUAGUAGGUGGGGUAACGGCUCACCUAGGCGACGAUCCCUAGCUGGUCUGAGAGGAUGACCAGCCACACUGGAACUGAGACACGGUCCAG